GAUGAACGCUGGCGGCGUGCUUAACACAUGCAAGUCGAACGAGAAAUGAUAUUACGAUCUCUUCGGAGUGACGGUUUUAUUUCGAGUGGCGGACGGGUGAGUAACGCGUGAGCAACCUGCCCUAUACCGGGGGAUACCAGUUGGAAACGACUGUUAAUACCGCAUAAGCGCACGAUAAGACAUCUUGUUGUGUGAAAAACUCCGGUGGUAUAGGAUGGGCUCGCGUAUGAUUAGCCAGUUGGCGGGGUAAAGGCCCACCGAAGCGACGAUCAUUAGCCGACCUGAGAGGGCGACCGGCCACAUUGGGACUGAGACACGGCCCAAACUCCUACGGGAGGCAGCAGUGGGGAAUAUUGCACAAUGGGCGAAAGCCUGAUGCAGCGACGCCGCGUGAGUGAGGAAGUAUUUCGGUAUGUAAAGCUCUAUCAGCAGGGAAGAAAGAAAUGACGGUACCUGAGUAAGAAGCUCCGGCUAAAUACGUGCCAGCAGCCGCGGUAAUACGUAGGGGGCAAGCGUUAUCCGGAUUCAUUGGGCGUAAAGCGCUCGUAGGCGGUCUGUUAGGUCGGGAGUUAAAUCCGGGGGCUCAACCCCCGCUCGCUCUCGAUACCGGCAGACUUGAGUUUGGUAGGGGAAGGUGGAAUUCCUAGUGUAGCGGUGGAAUGCGCAGAUAUUAGGAAGAACACCAGUGGCGAAGGCGGCCUUCUGGGCCAUAACUGACGCUGAGGAGCGAAAGCUAGGGGAGCAAACAGG
RNAcentral lists this ribosomal RNA (750 nucleotides) under Shuttleworthella satelles. RNAcentral's name for it is "bacterial SSU rRNA". It matches the Rfam family "Bacterial small subunit ribosomal RNA", at positions 28 to 776 of the family's 1533-position model. Lineage: Bacteria; Bacillati; Bacillota; Clostridia; Lachnospirales; Lachnospiraceae. The record is from RNAcentral.